AUGCUUCGGCAGCAUAUAUACUAAAAUUGGAAUGAUACAGAGAAGAUUAGCAUGGCCCCUGCACAAGGAUGACAGGCAAAUUCAUGAAGCAUUCCAUAUUUUU
Molecule: small nuclear RNA, 103 nt
Filed under: Vombatus ursinus (common wombat)
Lineage: Eukaryota; Metazoa; Chordata; Mammalia; Diprotodontia; Vombatidae
Source: RNAcentral